RNAcentral lists this ribosomal RNA (376 nucleotides) under uncultured bacterium. RNAcentral's name for it is "bacterial SSU rRNA". It matches the Rfam family "Bacterial small subunit ribosomal RNA", at positions 523 to 898 of the family's 1533-position model. The record is from RNAcentral.
AUACGGAGGGAGCUAGCGUUGUUCGGAAUUACUGGGCGUAAAGCGUGCGUAGGCGGUGACUCAAGUCAGAGGUGAAAGCCUGGAGCUCAACUCCAGAACUGCCUUUGAAACUAGGUCGCUAGAAUCUGGGAGAGGUGAGUGGAAUUCCGAGUGUAGAGGUGAAAUUCGUAGAUAUUCGGAAGAACACCAGUGGCGAAGGCGGCUCACUGGACCAGAAUUGACGCUGAGGCACGAAAGCGUGGGGAGCAAACAGGAUUAGAUACCCUGGUAGUCCACGCCGUAAACGAUGAUAACUAGCUGCCAGGGCUCUUAGAGCUUUGGUGGCGCAGCUAACGCAUUAAGUUAUCCGCCUGGGGAGUACGGUCGCAAGAUUAAA